Molecule: ribosomal RNA, 915 nt
Filed under: uncultured bacterium
Lineage: Bacteria
Description: bacterial SSU rRNA
Rfam family: Archaeal small subunit ribosomal RNA
Source: RNAcentral
AUCUACUAGUCAUAUGAAUGUGCAGCGCCGCGCGGUAUACAGCUCUCCGAGUGGUAGGGACGAUUAUGGCUUAAAGCGUCCGUAGCCGGCUUAGCAAGUCCCCUGUUAAUUCAACGACCUUAUCGUUGAGCCGCGGGAGAUACUACUAGGCUAGGAGGCGGAAGAGGCCGACGGUAUUCUCGGGGUAGGGGUGAAAAUCCUAUAAUCCCGGGAGGACCACCAGUGGCGAAGGGCUGUCGGCUAGAACGCGCUCGACGGUGAGGGACGAAAAGCUGGGGGAGCGAACCGGAUUAGAUACCCGGGUAGUCCCAGCUGUAAACGAUGCGGGCUAGGUGUUGGGGUGGCUACGAGCCACUUCAGUGCCGCAGGGAAGCCAUUAAGCCCGCCGCCUGGGGAGUACGGCCGCAAGGCUGAAACUUAAAGGAAUUGGCGGGGGAGCACCACAAGGCGUGAAGCUUGCGGUUCAAUUGGAGUCAACGCCGGGAACCUUACCGGGGGCGACAGCAGGAUGAAGGCCAGAUUGAAGGUCUUGCUGGACAAGCUGAGAGGAGGUGCAUGGCCGUCGCCAGUUCGUGCCGUGAGGUGUCCUGUUAAGUCAGGCAACGAUCGAGACCCGCGCCCUUAGUUGCUACCGAGGAAGUUUUCCAAGGAGCACUCUAGGGGGACUGCCGCCGACAAGGCGGAGGAAGGAGCGGGCCACGGCAGGUCAGUAUGCCCCGAAUCCCCCGGGCUACACGCGAGCUGCAAUGGCAGGGACAAUGGGUUCCCACCUUGAAAAAGGGAGGCAAUCCCUAAACCCUGCCUCAGUUGGGAUCGAGGGCUGCAACUCGCCCUCGUGAACAUGGAAUGCCUAGUAAUCGCGCGUCAUCAUCGCGCGGUGAAUACGUCCCCGCUCCUUGUACACACCGCCCGUCA